UACGUAGGGUGCAAGCGUUAAUCGGAAUUACUGGGCGUAAAGCGUGCGCAGGUGGUUGUGCAAGACAGAUGUGAAAUCCCCGGGCUUAACCUGGGAACUGCAUUUGUGACUGCACGGCUAGAGUGCGGCAGAGGGGGAUGGAAUUCCGCGUGUAGCAGUGAAAUGCGUAGAUAUGCGGAGGAACACCGAUGGCGAAGGCAAUCCCCUGGGCCUGCACUGACACUCAUGCACGAAAGCGUGGGGAGCAAACAGG
Molecule: ribosomal RNA, 253 nt
Filed under: uncultured bacterium
Lineage: Bacteria
Description: partial 16S ribosomal RNA
Rfam family: Bacterial small subunit ribosomal RNA
Source: RNAcentral